AAGAAAUGUGGUCUUUGACUUACUUGUAUCAGUAGAUAUCAACCUUUUUGGUCGCUGGCCAUUGGUCCACAUAGGAUAUCAGUCUGAAGUCACUGGAAGUUUCUGAGUAGAUGAGACCAUGAUCUGACAUAUAUGGAAGAUAGACUCUAGGGAGUUCAAAAGUAAGAACAAGUAGACUAUUUAGAUGGCUGUUGCAUAAUCCAGGUCUCACUCUGUCCCCUCAGAGGCUGGAGUA
Molecule: long non-coding RNA, 235 nt
Organism: Cercocebus atys (sooty mangabey)
Lineage: Eukaryota; Metazoa; Chordata; Mammalia; Primates; Cercopithecidae
Exons: 3
Source: RefSeq, a predicted model, not a curated record